Molecule: ribosomal RNA, 1671 nt
Filed under: Triticum aestivum (bread wheat)
Lineage: Eukaryota; Viridiplantae; Streptophyta; Magnoliopsida; Poales; Poaceae
Description: partial small subunit ribosomal RNA
Source: RNAcentral
AUGGGCGGGCGCAUCUGGGCACGCACAGACUGUUCAUUCCAUGGCGAAGGCAUAGGGUCAUGCCAAACUGGCGGUUGCGGCGGCUUGCUCGUUUGUAAGGGGAAUGGUCAACCGCCCAACACGCUGGGCGAAUUCACGCUUGGCCAAGACCAAACGAAUGACUUCUUCGACAUCUCCCUCCUCGACGGCUUCAAUGUGCCCAUGGAGUUACUGCCGGUGCUGGUUCGGGGAAGGUCAGGGUGCGGCAAGGGGCUGCGCUGCGCAGCCAACAUCACAUCGCAGUGCCCAGGCGACCUGAAGGCUCCGGGGGGUUGUAACAACGCGUGCACAGUGUUCAAGCAGGACAUAUACUGCUUGAAUGGAAGCACAAUAAGCAGCCCCACAAAUUACUCGAAAUUCUUUAAGCGGAUGUGCCCAGAUGCCUACAGCUACCCCGACGAUGGUUCCACCAGAACUUUCAAUUGCCCGUCGGGGACCAACUACCAGGUCGUUUUCUGUCCCCUGAUUAAUCACACACUAUCGCCUACAACUCAAAGUCCCCAGAUUAAUCAAGCACUGACGCCUACAGCUGAAAGUGGCUUCAUUUUCUUCACCAUCUUGUUCCUCGUCAGUUUCUUCAUACGUAAACGAAGAACACAAUGGCAGCAUGGGAUGGAACAAGAGGAAGAGUUUGGGGAGCUACAAGGAACACCAAUGAGGUUCACAUUUCAACAGCUAAAAGCAGCAACCGAGCAGUUCAAAGACAAGCUCGGGGAAGGAGGAUUUGGGUCUGUUUUCAAGGGUCAAUUUGCUGAUGAAAGGAUUGCGGUAAAACGUUUGGAUCGAUCUGGUCAAGGCAAAACAGAAUUUUCGGCAGAGGUUCAGACAAUUGGCAGCAUUCAUCACAUUAACCUGGUGAGAUUGAUUGGCUUCUGUGCAGAGAAAUCCCAUAGGCUCUUGGUAUAUGAGUACAUGCCCAAAGGAUCCUUGGACAGAUGGAUCUAUUGUCGACAUGACAAUGAUGCUCCUCCUCUACAUUGGAGCACACGGUGCAAGAUUAUCACUCAUAUAGCUAAGGGCCUCACGUAUCUUCACGAGGAGUGCACAAAACGAAUUGCUCAUUUGGAUGUCAAACCACACAACAUCCUCUUAGAUGACAACUUCAAUGCUAAACUUUCUGAUUUUGGACUAUGCAAGCUCAUUGACAGGGAUAUGAGCCAAGUGGUUACUAGAAUGAGAGGCACACCUGGGUAUUUAGCUCCUGAAUGGUUGACAUCACAGAUCACGGAAAAGGCAGAUGUCUAUAGCUUUGGCAUUGUGGUCAUGGAAAUCAUGAGUGGAAGAAAGAACCUUGACACUUCCCGGUCAGAGGAGAGCAUUCAUCUCAUUACCCUAUUGGAGGAAAAGGUGAAGAGUGAUCGGUUGGUAGAUUUGAUUGACAAUAACAGCACCGACAUGCAAGCACACAAGCAAGAUGUAAUUCAGAUGAUCAUGCUUGCAAUGUGGUGCUUGCAGAUUGAUUGCAAAAGAAGGCCUAAAAUGUCUGAGGUAGUAAAAGUAUUGGAAGGUGCCAUGAAUAUAGACAUCAACAUAGAUCAUAACUUUGUUGUGAAUUCAGCAAAUUUUGGUAGUGCUGGAAAUGUGAGGUCUUCAGCUCCACCUCUAGCCUCAGAUGUAUCAGGCCCUAGGUGA